UAUUGUGGAGAGACAUCAUCAUGUUUUAUAUGUCUGGCUAGUAUUUAAAUUUCCUUGAGGGCCUGUUUGGAAACUAGAAUUUCAUUUCAAAUAGUGUAUUUGACCCAAUUCUAGUAUUGGAUCCAUAAGAACUUGAAUACUAGAUAUUGGCCCAAAUCCAUUUAACAGUUUAAACCUAUACUAAGCCCAUAAUUCUAAAUCCCGAUUGAUAGGCUGUCAUUUGUAAUUCCUGUUUCUUCUCUCUCCAUUUCCGCUCUCACAAAUUCCCCCCGCUCUCGCGAUUCCCCCCUCGCGAUCUCUCAACCGGCGGUGGCGACGACGACGACGAGAUCUCUCCCCGCCGCCAUCUCCAACGGCGACGACCUCUCCCCCUUCAUCCGCCGUGCCUUCGCCCAGUCCAAGCCCGAGGCCCUCCUCCACAACCUCCGCCUCUUCGCCCGAUCCAAGGAGUUCAAGAUCGAGUCCGUCUGCAAAUCUCACUACCAGGACUUCAUUCAAGCCGUCGACGACCUCCACUCCCUCCUCUUCGAGACCGAAACCCUAAAAAGCUCGAUCAAGCCUUAAUUUCCCAUUGGAGAGGGGGGCGACAGCGAAGAUGGUUGAUGUUUCCUCUCGAUCAAGCCCUAAUUCCUCAUUGGAGAGGGGGGCAACGGUGAGUUUCGGUGGCGGUUAUGGUUGGUGAGGUCAGUUUUCUCUAUUUUCUCUGUUUAAUUGGUAAUGAAUUUGUUUAAAAGACUAAAAUUUUUCCAUCUUACGUAGAAUUUGGUAAUGUUAAUGUUUGUUCAAUAGUAUUUGGAGGUUCUCUGCGUGGAAUUUGCUAGUGAAAAGAGUUGGAUUCAAAGAAUUCAAGUUUAAUCAAUUAAACAAACAAUAACCACUAGCAUAACUUUCUAGUAUUACACUUAUUCUACUUGGUACAUUUAGUAGUCUCUUCAAGUCUACGACAUUCGUGAGAUGAAAGUUUCUAGAUAUGAUACAUAAAAGGGCAUUUUCUAAAUUAUGAGUCUACGAUAUUUCUUGAAUGCCAUCCUACGUUUCUGGUUUUGGCGGUGAGAUGAUAAGCAUAAUAACCAACGAGAGUUACUAAUAACUUGAAUGCAAAUCUUUUGUGUUAUCAAUUUGUUCCGCAUAGUUUGAUGGUGCACAUGUUAUUCACCAUCAUGGUUCCUCUACUUUUUCUAAUAAGGAUACCAAAUUAAAAUCCUUGCAAUUCUCAAGAUAUUAUCGUGACUUUUAGAUGUAAUUCUCUUAUCUAUAACUUCUUGAAUGUUUAUUUUGCGUUUCAAUAUUUAUCUUUUACUAUUGAGAUAAUACUUUUGGUUGAGAGCUGAUUAAUGUUCAUUUGCAUGAUGCUAACUAAGUGUAUUGCUGCGAAUGUACAUUCCAUGUAUUUAUGUUCAGGAUGCAAAUGCGUCUGCAUGUCAGUUUGCAGAAUGAUCCAACACUUGGACACUUGCUGCUUACCUUGUGUCCAUACGCCAUGGAAUACUAGUAGCUACCAUCUCCAUAUGAUAUAGAAAGUUCAAUUCAUACUCAAGAGAUACAGAACCUUCCGCAUAUAUUAAUAUGAUCAAAUAGCCGAUAUACUAUUUUUUAUCGUUUAUAUUUUACAGUUCAUAUAUUUUAAGUAUGCUUAACCCCUUAACACAUCUUGGUAUGAUGAAUGAACAAAGUCUUAUGUUUCAACUGUUCAUGUAUUUAUGACUUGGUUGUUUGAGGCUUGGAUGGGAUCAGUAGCUUAGCGCUUGCCUAGUCAGUCAAUUGAAGUCUCUCUUUGAUUCCUUUUACCAAUUCUAUCCAAAAAUUGAACCCUCUAGUUUCACAGCCUAAAUUAUGUAGAAUUCUGGCAGUUUAUAAGGCAUCAUGUUGCAUCAGAUUCUUCAUCAGUAAUUGGCUGCGUUUUUUUUUUAAUUCUAAAGAUUAGUAGAAGUUGCAUUGCUAGAAGGAACCUUGAGUUACUGGAAACAAGACAAAUUGUUUGUUUGUUAUAUUGACUUUUUUUUCUUUUUUUUGAGGAAGACUGCAUAAAAGAUUGAAAACUCAACUUAUUACAUUCAAUACUAUGCACUAUAUAUAUACAUCAUGGCUUCUCUGUUCUGUUAGAGGAUUGUUAGAAAUUACCCAUUUUCAAGCUUUAUAGUUCUUUAAACUGGGUCAUACAUAAGUUUCAGAUCUCUAUCAACCCCAGACUACUACUUUCAGUACCAUCUCAAGACAUCAAUGUAUGAAGAUAUGGAUGUUUCUGAUCUACUAGAAGGAAAAGGUGAUUCAAAAACUCACAAAGUAAGACUUUCUGAACCGAAGGGAGAAAACUACAAAAGAAAUACAAAGUGAAAGUGUAUAAGCAUUAGAAAGAAACUCUCAUUUGAAUCAGGUGUAAAAGUCUUAAAGAAACUAGUACGAGAGCAACUUAAACAUGGCACUAUGUAAUGACAAAAUAUUAACUUUUGUUGGUUUGUAUUUGUUGGAUAUUUUG
Molecule: long non-coding RNA, 2476 nt
Organism: Asparagus officinalis (garden asparagus)
Lineage: Eukaryota; Viridiplantae; Streptophyta; Magnoliopsida; Asparagales; Asparagaceae
Exons: 2
Source: RefSeq, a predicted model, not a curated record